CGGUAAUUCCAGCUCCAAUAGCGUAUAUUAAAGUUGCUGCAGUUAAAAAGCUCGUAGUUGAAUUUCGGGGUCAAUAUGUUGGUCGUGCCUUGGUACGUACUAGCUUAUUGAUUUCUCCUUUCUGACGAACCAUGAUGUCAUUAAUUUGGUGUCAUGGGGAAUCAGGACUGUUACUUUGAAAAAAUUAGAGUGUUUAAAGCAGGCUCGCGCUUGAAUACAUUAGCAUGGAAUAAUGAAAUAGGACAUUUGAUUCUAUUUUGUUGGUUUCUAGGAUCGAUGUAAUGAUUAAUAGGGAUAGUUGGGGGCAUUAGUAUUCAAUUGUCAGAGGUGAAAUUCUUGGAUUUAUUGAAGACUAACUACUGCGAAAGCAUUUGCCAAGGAUGUUUUCAUUAAUCAAGAACGAAAGUUAGGGGAUCGAAGACGAUCAGAUACCGUCGUAGUCUUAACCAUAAACUAUGCCGACU
This 464-nucleotide ribosomal RNA is filed under the name uncultured Glomus. RNAcentral describes it as "SSU rRNA". It matches the Rfam family "Eukaryotic small subunit ribosomal RNA", at positions 577 to 1047 of the family's 1831-position model. Lineage: Eukaryota; Fungi; Glomeromycota; Glomeromycetes; Glomerales; Glomeraceae. The record is from RNAcentral.